This 183-nucleotide long non-coding RNA is filed under the name Neogale vison (American mink). RNAcentral's name for it is "Neovison vison (American mink) Pvt1 onco conserved region 2 (ENSNVIG00000008850.1)". It matches the Rfam family "Pvt1 oncogene conserved region 2". The record is from RNAcentral. Lineage: Eukaryota; Metazoa; Chordata; Mammalia; Carnivora; Mustelidae.
GAAGGCAGCUGUCAACCUCGCAGGAAGCCCACUAUUAAAAGGAAACAAAAGUGUCAUUAGGAGUCCUGCUGUCACUGUGGAUUGAAUCAGCAUGCUGAGCCCUGAGGGCAGACCGGGAGGGAGACCUCUUCCACAGGACUGAGAAAGCAGUUGGAGACCUUGACUGGGCGAGGGCCCCUGAGG